RNAcentral lists this ribosomal RNA (348 nucleotides) under Pseudomonas corrugata. RNAcentral describes it as "bacterial SSU rRNA". It matches the Rfam family "Bacterial small subunit ribosomal RNA", at positions 565 to 912 of the family's 1533-position model. Lineage: Bacteria; Pseudomonadati; Pseudomonadota; Gammaproteobacteria; Pseudomonadales; Pseudomonadaceae. The record is from RNAcentral.
GCGCGCGUAGGUGGUUCGUUAAGUUGGAUGUGAAAGCCCCGCCCUUAACCUGGGAACUGCAUUCAAAACUGACGAGCUAGAGUACGGUAGAGGGUGGUGGAAUUUCCUGUGUAGCGGUGAAAUGCGUACAUAUAGGAAGGAACACCAGUGGCGAAGGCGACCCCCUGGACUGAUACUGACACUGAGGUGCGAAAGCGUGGGGAGCAAACACGAUUAUAUACCCUGGUAGUCCACGCCGCAGACGAUGUCAACUAGCCAUUGGGAGCCUUGCGCUCUUAGUGGCGCAGCUAACGCAUUAAGUUGACCGCCUGGAGAGUACGGCCGCAACGUUAAAACUCAUAAGAAUUG